This 433-nucleotide ribosomal RNA is filed under the name uncultured bacterium. RNAcentral describes it as "partial 16S ribosomal RNA". It matches the Rfam family "Bacterial small subunit ribosomal RNA", at positions 29 to 507 of the family's 1533-position model. The record is from RNAcentral.
AGCGAACGCUGGCGGCAGGCCUAACACAUGCAAGUCGAACGAACUCUUCGGAGUUAGUGGCGGACGGGUGGGUAACCCGUGGGAACGUGCCUUUAGGCUCGGAAUAACUCAGGGAAACUUGUGCUAAUACCGAAUGUGCCCUUCGGGGGAAAGAUUUAUCGCCUUUAGAGCGGCCCGCGUCUGAUUAGCUAGUUGGUGAGGUAAAGGCUCACCAAGGCGACGAUCAGUAGCUGGUCUGAGAGGAUGAUCAGCCACAUUGGGACUGUGACACGGCCCAAACUCCUACGGGAGGCAGCAGUGGGGAAUCUUGCGCAAUGGGCGAAAGCCUGACGCAGCCAAGCCGCGUGAAUGAUGAAGGUCUUAGGAUUGUAAAAUUCUUUCACCGGGGACGAUAAUGACGGUACCCGGAGAAGAAGCCCCGGCUAACUUCGUG